Grammomys surdaster is the source of this 127-nucleotide small nucleolar RNA. RefSeq annotates it as small nucleolar RNA SNORA17. NCBI's taxonomy places the organism in Eukaryota, Metazoa, Chordata, Mammalia, Rodentia, Muridae. The transcript has a single exon. The record is from RefSeq and is a predicted model, not a curated record.
CCUGCCCCUAGUGGUGUUCCAGGUGUGGCUGCUGUGUCACAUGCGUGUCAGUAGGUGGCAGAGAGGAAAGAGAUGAGGUCUAAGUGUUCUAACCCGUAAACAUCUGAAUGAUUAGUAGCCUAACACU